Long non-coding RNA from Agelaius phoeniceus (red-winged blackbird), 1693 nucleotides. RefSeq lists it as uncharacterized. NCBI's taxonomy places the organism in Eukaryota, Metazoa, Chordata, Aves, Passeriformes, Icteridae. The record is from RefSeq and is a predicted model, not a curated record.
CCAUUCCCCGUCCCUGCCCCUUCCCGCCCGGCAGCGCUAUCGCGCUCUCCUCUGCGCGGCGCUGGAGGCCACGGAUGCUUCCCUGUGAGCGCGGUGCCCUGCGGGUCCCUCUGUCAGAGCAGAAUUUUGUAUUCCUGAGACAACACUGACACUCGCACACACACACGCACAGAGUCUCGAGUGGGGAGGUUUGGGGCGGUCGCUCGAUGCUGCGCGGCGGGACCGGUGUCGCAGCGAGUGACCCGGUUUGUGAGGCGAAGCCUCGCACGGAGAUUGAUGGGUUGAGUGGUUAUUGGGAAAUUCAUCGUAUUUCAUCCCAUUUGAUCAGCAUCCCCCCGCCAGCCCCGGCUGUGCGUACGCUCACCCAAGGAUAACAUAACCAGGGUGAGAAAACUCUGAAAACACUACAGCUGCUGAGAAUGGAAGCUAUUCUGAAGUGUUGAGAAAAGAAAGUCACAAAAGAUGGGAGUCCACCUGGUUUCCUUGGGAUUCAGACAGACUGAAGAAAGACUGAAAACUGUAUCUCCUCAGAAAAGCAGUUCAGUGCAAAUUUAACCCCCGGAGCAGUGCCUGGUUUGUCUUCAGUUCCAGAGCAAGCAGAGGUAAGCAGCCAAGAGCAAGCACCCCGCAGCAAAGGGGGGCAAAAGCCAUCGCAGCCAAGCCUGGUAAAUGCAGCUCCUGCUGGAAUGGCUGGGUGAUCGAUGGCAUCUAGGGAAAAGCCUCGCUCCAGCUGACCUCUGUGCUGUGCAGCUGAUGGCAGGGACUUUGUGCUGGCAGAAAAUACAUUGUGUUUCAAACUGUGGCAGAGCUUGAGUCCCUCACUGCAGCAUCUGAGUGGAGAUCUGAAAAAUAUUUUGUUACAGUUCUUACUGGUACCUCUGGAAUAAGGGUUAUAAUGUAUCUAAUAGUGCUGCGUUCCUAUCAGCAUGACUAGGAUGAGGGAAAAGUGGAAUUUAAUUCCUGCCAGUGAAGUUUCAGCAGCAGUAAGUCAUGUACUGACUGACUUCACUAGGAUUACCCUAAAAACACCUUAAGGCACUUUCUGUUCUUGGGCUGCACUAGAUCCCUCUGUGCACCCCAGCUUUGAAAGCCUUCUCAGGAAUAGUGCAGAUCUGGGUGCUCCUGCACCUACAACCCUGAAUCCUUGUCAAGGCAAGAGAAGGUGGCCAGGAAUACAGAAAUUUCAUUCCUUCAGCAUUACCUAAGUCAAUGUCUUGCUGUUUAAGAAUGGUGUGUUAAGGGUAAAGGAAAUGGAAUUUGUCAAAGCAGGGAAAAGGGAAAGCUCAAGAUCUGGGUGUGAUGGUGUGGUAAUCAGUAAAGAAACUUCAUUUAAGAUCAGCAUCAGCCCCUCUUCUGCCUGAUUAACUGCUAGGGGAGUUUUUUUAUUUUCUAUUGGUAAAGUUUAGUGAGUGAUAAGCAAGAAUAACCAUUAAUUCUUAUCUGCUCCAUGUGGGAACUGGAUGAUCCUCUAACAGCAGAGACAUGACUGGUACUAAGCUCCUUCCAAGUGCUGGGGGACAGGCUGUUUGUGUGCCUUAACCUUCAGUGUUUCAGGGUCUUCAGACAGAAGUUAGAAGAACCCAUGCUAUCUCAGGAGUCCAAUGUGCAAGGGAGCUGGAUAAAAAUCCUCAGCAAGACUGCAUCUGUCUGGUAACCAUUUUAAGCUAAUUUUAUACAAACUUGGUGAAAAUAA